Molecule: non-coding RNA, 210 nt
Filed under: Klosneuvirus KNV1
Lineage: Varidnaviria; Bamfordvirae; Nucleocytoviricota; Megaviricetes; Imitervirales; Mimiviridae
Source: RNAcentral
CGACGAUUAUAAUAAUCGCUAGACUAUACCUUAAGCCUCAAUUUGGAGACCCAUUAACAUCUAGUCGUUGAACAGCACAUUUAUUUAAAAAUGCUUGGCUGCGGAUUAUUUUAAUGAUUAUUAAUUUUCACUAUUACAAAGUAUAAUAAUCAUAUCAAAAUUUUCCCGCAAUUUGUUAAUGUUGCUAAUAAAUAUUUAUUAACUAGGUUU